RNAcentral lists this transfer RNA (69 nucleotides) under Pelophryne signata (Saint Andrew's Cross toadlet). RNAcentral's name for it is "tRNA-Val". The record is from RNAcentral. Lineage: Eukaryota; Metazoa; Chordata; Amphibia; Anura; Bufonidae.
CGUGGUGUCGCUUAACUAAAGCAUCUUGCUUACACCAAGAAAAUGUCCGUAAUAACCAGACCACUACGA